RNAcentral lists this non-coding RNA (30 nucleotides) under Rattus norvegicus (Norway rat). The record is from RNAcentral. Lineage: Eukaryota; Metazoa; Chordata; Mammalia; Rodentia; Muridae.
UACACACAGUAGUGAAGCCUAAGUGAAAGA